Molecule: transfer RNA, 65 nt
Filed under: Dipodomys ordii (Ord's kangaroo rat)
Lineage: Eukaryota; Metazoa; Chordata; Mammalia; Rodentia; Heteromyidae
Rfam family: tRNA
About the family: Transfer RNA (tRNA) molecules are approximately 80 nucleotides in length. Their secondary structure includes four short double-helical elements and three loops (D, anti-codon, and T loops).
Source: Rfam by way of RNAcentral
GGUGGCUUAGUGGUAGAGUGCUUGCCUCGCAUGCAUGAUGUCCUGGGUUUGAUUCCUCAGCACCA